UCUCAACUAUAAAUAUUUUAGUAACAUUUUAUAGCAACCCAAUAUUCACAUUUAUAUUAUGUUAAACUAAUGUCACCCCGUUUGCCAACCUAUAAUGGCAUUAGUGAUCAAAUAUACAUAUUUGAUUUUUAACAUGAAUCUUAGUGCUCUACAUUACUUAUACAUAUACACAAGCAUAAGACUCUUAACCGUAAGCGGAGUGACCUUGGGAGAAGGUACAGCUACUGAAAUGCCAUAGUACUUACCAAGAAGAUGAGCAUACGUAGACAACUCAAUCUAGGUCCCAACUGCCUCUAAAUCUGAAAACAUGAAGUUUAAAAGAGUGAGUAUGAAACUUAGUGAGUGAACAUAAGAAGGGAACAAGCAACCGAUACGGAAACAUUUCGAAAACAUGAUGCACUUUUAUUAAAAACAAUGCAAUUUAGUUUAAUUUCUUGUAAAACCCCAUAAUUCAACCUUUGAUUAUUAAAUCCCUUAGUGUUGAAAGAUCCAUGAUAAACCAUGAAGUUGAAAAGAAUGAAAGUUUCAGCAAAUGUCCAAGCAAGACAAGCAAAACAAAGGGUUUCUCGCUGCAGCGAAAAAGCAUUCUAUGUUUGCAUAUAUUUUUGUUUUUCAAGAAUAUCUUACACUACAGAAGUCCAAUUGACAUGAGUUUUAAGUCAUUAGAAAGCUAAGAGGGUGGGCUACAGCUUUGAUGUUUACCACUUUGCCCAGUUCUGAUCGGAAGGUGGUGAAAAUCAUUGUCAAAGUGAAUGCACUGCACCACAAUUUUGAAACCACCCAAGAGUUUCUCACUGCAACGAGAAUCUAUUUUCACUGCAGCGAAAUUUCUCGCUACAGCGAGAAUCCAUUCUUGCUGCAACAAAAUUCAGAGCAUGGAUUAAGGCUGCCUACCCGAGAGUUUCUCGCUGCAGCGAAAAUGAAUCUCGCUGCAAUGAGAAACAGAACAAUUUAGUUGAAGGGGUCUUGUUACAUCAAAAAGCCAUUUUCUUGCUUAAAUGAAAAGCAAUUUGAGAGCAAUUAACAAUGCCAACAUACAACACAUUCACAAAUAUUUUCAUAAACUUUCUAUAACAUAUAUAUAUAUAUAUAUAUAUAUAUAUAUAUAUACAUACAUACAUACAUCAUCAUGCAUACCAUCCCGCCACACUCAGCUUAUGUGCACUCUGUACUCGCACAUAGCCAGGUUAUCAUCAGCUCAUGUGCACUCUCACACCGUACAUAGUUGGGUCAUCAUCAUCUCAUGUGCACUCCCACACCGCACAUAGCUCGGUCAUUAUUAUCACACAAAAAGAGUAUCCAAAACAUAAUAUACAUAUCAAUAUAAUGUGAUAAAACAUGAACUAUUCAUAUUGCACAUUUCACAAGAUAGAAACAUUUCAUCAAGGGUUUGUUCUCCAAGUAUAUUUUUUUAAAGCAAAAACAAAUGAAACUUUCCAAUGAUUUAUUUAAACAUGUAGGCACUUCCCAAAACAUUUUGAAUGGCAAGUUCACUCACCUUACGAUAGCGGGAUAUUACAUCGCUAUUUGUUGGGAGGCAUAUCUAGCUAUUCCUACUUGUCAGUUGCUCGUUAUUUU
RNAcentral lists this long non-coding RNA (1578 nucleotides) under Theobroma cacao (cacao). RNAcentral's name for it is "long non-coding RNA (TCAC_LNC000828)". Lineage: Eukaryota; Viridiplantae; Streptophyta; Magnoliopsida; Malvales; Malvaceae. The record is from RNAcentral.